Molecule: non-coding RNA, 1966 nt
Organism: Lactuca sativa (garden lettuce)
Lineage: Eukaryota; Viridiplantae; Streptophyta; Magnoliopsida; Asterales; Asteraceae
Source: RefSeq, a predicted model, not a curated record
CAGUAGAUUCACAACACGAUAUGUUUCCAUCUUUAGCGGUUACCAAGGGAUUAUGUGUGCGAAAUUUUUGUGAUGAUCACCAUAUCUCAGGAAAUCCUGAAGGUAAUCUUAGUAUUUAUAGGAUUUGAAUUCCAUAACCACCAUAGUAAAUAUCAAUUAGGGUUUUUCAAAUUCAAAUAACACGAAAAAGAUGUAUGAUUUGUGAAAAGUUAUUAAUUUGUUAUGGGUAUUUGCACAUUUUACUCUUCUUUCUUGUGAUUUCAUCAUCAGGUAAUCCUUUUCAUUUGUGUUUUUCUCUAUUUAUCCCUCUUAAACCCUAAUCCUCUUCAUCCUCUCGACGAGUUGUGUUUCUUCAUCUUAUUCAUUUUAUAUCUCUUAAAUUGUAACCCUCUUAAAACCUUAUAUCUAAUCUCUAUCACGAUCGUCUUAUAACCUCACCCCUUGCUAGCUGUUGUAAUAUUGUCGAUUUUUAUCAUAGAUAACGUGGUUGUCGGUGACGAAACCAUCAAUUUCAGGGAAAUAUUUUAUUAGAGCAGUGAUCAUAAUGAUUGAUAUUAUGUAUCCCAUCAGGUUGCUCGAGAUAUAUAUUAUCAUCACAAUAUCUUACAUCUCACCAGAAGGUUAAUCUAGAAGAAGUGAUUAUUGGACGAUAAUUCCUUAUUAAAUGUUCUUCUUGAUUUGUCAACUUCCAAAAAUUGUUUCAUUUGUUUUCAUAGUUUUGUUGAAUUAUCUGAUUGAUAUGAAAUGCAGAGCAUGUUAUACCAACGCAUUUUUAUAUAGUUGGUUAAAAGAGGUGGAAUAUUGGUGCCUCUAAAUUAGUAACAACAUGUUUUUGUCUUUGCAGGAGGGUUUUAAGGAUAUGUUUGUAGUUUUUGGUAUCAUAUUGGAUUAUUGGCUACUGGACUUGGUUUGUUAUCAUCUAUUGUGGUUAUAAUUUUGAUGAAGUUGUAUUUUUUUUUUUUUUUUGUAUAAUAGUUAAAUACAAGCAAUAAUAAUGUAGUUAGUAUAUUAUAGCAUCGCACUUUCAUUUAUUCCUAUUACGACAAUAUUCUUCAAAAAUAUAUCACCUAUUAAUAAAUGAAAGUAGGAUGCUAUAAGAAAUAAUUAAAUGUGACUGCAAGUUAUUUCUUGCAUUUAGCCUUCCAUUUUAUUUAACCUGGUUUACCUAAUUUUGAUAAAAUCCAGGUUCAGGCGAUACAUAUGUCUUGGGUUUUGCUACAUUCACAACUUCUCUGCAAUAAGCUACUAUAUAUGCAGGUGUUUUUUUUAUCGUUUCAUUAAAUCGUUGUUUCUUUCUUAUAGAUACCAAUUCAACUUCUCCAAGGUCAAAUCUAUUUUUUUCAAUCAAAGUUUAAAUUAAAAAUGUUACAAAUGCUACAUGAACAUCGUGCAUUAGAUAUGUUGGCAUGCUUUUAACAUAGUUACAAUUUUCUUUUAAUUAAAAAUAUGAAAAAUGUAUAUCAAUCUUGGAGUAAAAAGUAAAAUUUUGCUUCUAUCUUUUGUAUGGAAGAGUAGAUCUUCACUUUUUUGGUUAUUUAGCAUAAAUAUCUAUUACUUUUACAGAAAUUCACUAUGGAUUAAGAGUAAAAUCGUCAGUUACUCUCAUUCAGAAAUUUAUAUUAAACAAGAAGUUUUAUAGUUUGACUUUCGCAUUACUGGAGAAAGUUAUGCAACCAUGCAGGUUCACAUAUACAGACUGAUCUACUUUCCACCUUUAGUUGAUGUGUAUGUUAAAUAUGAAGUGAAACCAACAACUUCCAUGACUAAAUUUAAAUUAUUAUACUUUAUAAAUGCAAGAAUAUGAGAUUUGUUAUGAUUGAUAAACAUAACAGAGUUUUGUUAUGAGUUGAUUAGAGGUUUGAAGUUCAUCUUUAUAGAACAUGAUUGAUAAUGUAAAUAUUAAGCCCUUUGUUUGUGACAAUAGAACUGGUACGGUGAAGAUUGUAUAUUAUUUUUUCUCCUUUUA